AGAGUUUGAUCCUGGCUCAGAUUGAACGCUGGCGGCAGGCCUAACACAUGCAAGUCGAGCGGUAGCACAGAGAGCUUGCUCUCGGGUGACGAGCGGCGGACGGGUGAGUAAUGUCUGGGAAACUGCCUGAUGGAGGGGGAUAACUACUGGAAACGGUAGCUAAUACCGCAUAACGUCGCAAGACCAAAGUGGGGGACCUUCGGGCCUCAUGCCAUCAGAUGUGCCCAGAUGGGAUUAGCUAGUAGGUGGGGUAACGGCUCACCUAGGCGACGAUCCCUAGCUGGUCUGAGAGGAUGACCAGCCACACUGGAACUGAGACACGGUCCAGACUCCUACGGGAGGCAGCAGUGGGGAAUAUUGCACAAUGGGCGCAAGCCUGAUGCAGCCAUGCCGCGUGUGUGAAGAAGGCCUUCGGGUUGUAAAGCACUUUCAGCGGGGAGGAAGGCGUUAAGGUUAAUAACCUUGGCGAUUGACGUUACCCGCAGAAGAAGCACCGGCUAACUCCGUGCCAGCAGCCGCGGUAAUACGGAGGGUGCAAGCGUUAAUCGGAAUUACUGGGCGUAAAGCGCACGCAGGCGGUCUGUCAAGUCGGAUGUGAAAUCCCCGGGCUCAACCUGGGAACUGCAUUCGAAACUGGCAGGCUAGAGUCUUGUAGAGGGGGGUAGAAUUCCAGGUGUAGCGGUGAAAUGCGUAGAGAUCUGGAGGAAUACCGGUGGCGAAGGCGGCCCCCUGGACAAAGACUGACGCUCAGGUGCGAAAGCGUGGGGAGCAAACAGGAUUAGAUACCCUGGUAGUCCACGCCGUAAACGAUGUCGAUUUGGAGGUUGUGCCCUUGAGGCGUGGCUUCCGGAGCUAACGCGUUAAAUCGACCGCCUGGGGAGUACGGCCGCAAGGUUAAAACUCAAAUGAAUUGACGGGGGCCCGCACAAUCGGUGGAGCAUGUGGUUUAAUUCGAUGCGACGCGAAGAACCUUACCUGGUCUUGACAUCCACAGAACUUUCCAGAGAUGGAUUGGUGCCUUCGGGAACUGUGAGACAGGUGCUGCAUGGCUGUCGUCAGCUCGUGUUGUGAAAUGUUGGGUUAAGUCCCGCAACGAGCGCAACCCUUAUCCUUUGUUGCCAGCGGUUCGGCCGGGAACUCAAAGGAGACUGCCAGUGAUAAACUGGAGGAAGGUGGGGAUGACGUCAAGUCAUCAUGGCCCUUACGACCAGGGCUACACACGUGCUACAAUGGCAUAUACAAAGAGAAGCGACCUCGCGAGAGCAAGCGGACCUCAUAAAGUAUGUCGUAGUCCGGAUUGGAGUCUGCAACUCGACUCCAUGAAGUCGGAAUCGCUAGUAAUCGUAGAUCAGAAUGCUACGGUGAAUACGUUCCCGGGCCUUGUACACACCGCCCGUCACACCAUGGGAGUGGGUUGCAAAAGAAGUAGGUAGCUUAACCUUCGGGAGGGCGCUUACCACUUUGUGAUUCAUGACUGGGGUGA
Molecule: ribosomal RNA, 1483 nt
Filed under: uncultured bacterium
Lineage: Bacteria
Description: bacterial SSU rRNA
Rfam family: Bacterial small subunit ribosomal RNA
Source: RNAcentral